CCUCCGUUGGUGAACCAGCGGAGGGAUCAUUACAGAGUUGCAAAACUCCAAAACCAUUGUGAACGUUACCUAUCCCGUUGCUUCGGCGGGCGGCCCGGGCCCCGCGCCCGGCGCCCCCCGGCCCCCCGUGGGCGCCCGCCGGAGGUAAACCAAACCCUUGAAUUGCAUGGCCUCUCUGAGUCUUCUGUACUGAAUAAGUCAAAACUUUCAACAACGGAUCUCUUGGUUCUG
RNAcentral lists this unclassified non-coding RNA (231 nucleotides) under plant metagenome. Its description in RNAcentral is "partial contains small subunit ribosomal RNA, internal transcribed spacer 1, and 5.8S ribosomal RNA". The record is from RNAcentral.